UACGGGGGGGGCAAGCGUUGUUCGGAAUUACUGGGCGUAAAGGGCUCGUAGGCGGCCAACUAAGUCGGACGUGAAAUCCCUCGGCUCAACCGGGGAACUGCGUCCGAUACUGGAUGGCUUGAAUCCGGGAGAGGGAUGCGGAAUUCCAGGUGUAGCGGUGAAAUGCGUAGAUAUCUGGAGGAACACCGGUGGCGAAGGCGGCAUCCUGGACCGACACUGACGCUGAGGAGCGAAAGCCAGGGGAGCAAACGGG
RNAcentral lists this ribosomal RNA (253 nucleotides) under uncultured bacterium. RNAcentral's name for it is "partial 16S ribosomal RNA". It matches the Rfam family "Bacterial small subunit ribosomal RNA", at positions 524 to 776 of the family's 1533-position model. The record is from RNAcentral.